AGUGAACGCUGGCGGUAGGCCUAACACAUGCAAGUCGAACGGCAGCACAGUAAGAGCUUGCUCUUACGGGUGGCGAGUGGCGGACGGGUGAGGAAUACAUCGGAAUCUACUUUUUCGUGGGGGAUAACGUAGGGAAACUUACGCUAAUACCGCAUACGACCUACGGGUGAAAGCAGGGGAUCUUCGGACCUUGCGCGAUUGAAUGAGCCGAUGUCGGAUUAGCUAGUUGGCGGGGUAAAGGCCCACCAAGGCGACGAUCCGUAGCUGGUCUGAGUGGAUGAUCAGCCACACUGGAACUGAGACACGGUCCAGACUCCUACGGGAGGCAGCAGUGGGGAAUAUUGGACAAUGGGCGCAAGCCUGAUCCAGCCAUACCGCGUGGGUGAAGAAGGCCUUCGGGUUGUAAAGCCCUUUUGUUGGGAAAGAAAAGCAGCAGGUUAAUACCCCGCUGUUAUGACGGUAACCAAAGAAUAAGCACCGGCUAACUUCGUG
Molecule: ribosomal RNA, 492 nt
Filed under: uncultured bacterium
Lineage: Bacteria
Description: partial 16S ribosomal RNA
Rfam family: Bacterial small subunit ribosomal RNA
Source: RNAcentral